UAGCUACAGGCUUAACACAUGCAAGUCGAGGGGAAACGGCAUUUAGUGCUUGCACGAAAUGGACGUCGACCGGCGCACGGGUGAGUAACGCGUAUCCAACCUUCCCAUAACUAAGGGAUAACCUGCCGAAAGGCAGACUAAUACCUUAUGUAAUCCUUUGAUGGCAUCAGAUAAGGAUAAAAGAUUUAUCGGUUAUGGAUGGGGAUGCGUCUGAUUAGCUUGUUGGCGGGGUAACGGCCCACCAAGGCAACGAUCAGUAGGGGUUCUGAGAGGAAGGUCCCCCACAUUGGAACUGAGACACGGUCCAAACUCCUACGGGAGGCAGCAGUGAGGAAUAUUGGUCAAUGGACGGAAGUCUGAACCAGCCAAGUAGCGUGCAGGAUGACGGCCCUAUGGGUUGUAAACUGCUUUUGUAUGGGGAUAAAGUCAAUCACGUGUGAUUGUUUGCAGGUACCAUACGAAUAAGGACCGGCUAAUUCCGUGCCAGCAGCCGCGGUAAUACGGAAGGUUCGGGCGUUAUCCGGAUUUAUUGGGUUUAAAGGGAGCGUAGGCCGGAGAUUAAGUGUGUUGUGAAAUGUAGACGCUCAACGUCUGACUUGCAGCGCAUACUGGUUUCCUUGAGUACGCACAACGUUGGCGGAAUUCGUCGUGUAGCGGUGAAAUGCUUAGAUAUGACGAAGAACUCCGAUUGCGAAGGCAGCUGACGGGAGCGCAACUGACGCUGAAGCUCGAAGGUGCGAGUAUCGAACAGGAUUAGAUACCCUGGUAGUCCGCACAGUAAACGAUGGAUGCCCGCUGUUGGUACCUGGUAUCAGCGGCUAAGCGAAAGCAUUAAGCAUCCCACCUGGGGAGUACGCCGGCAACGGUGAAACUCAAAGGAAUUGACGGGGGCCCGCACAAGCGGAGGAACAUGUG
Molecule: ribosomal RNA, 915 nt
Filed under: uncultured bacterium
Lineage: Bacteria
Description: bacterial SSU rRNA
Rfam family: Bacterial small subunit ribosomal RNA
Source: RNAcentral